UGGGGAAUCUUGCACAAUGGGGGAAACCCUGAUGCAGCGACGCCGCGUGAGCGAUGAAGGUUUUCGAAUCGUAAAGCUCUGUCCUAUGGGAAGAUAAUGACGGUACCAUAGGAGGAAGCCCCGGCUAACUACGUGCCAGCAGCCGCGGUAAUACGUAGGGGGCGAGCGUUGUCCGGAAUUACUGGGCGUAAAGGGUUCGCAGGCGGCAUGACAAGUCCGAUGUCAAAGGCGAAAGCUCAACUUUCGUAAGCAUCGGAAACUGUCAAGCUUGAGUGAAGGGGAGGCAAGUGGAAUUCCUAGUGUAGCGGUGGAAUGCGUAGAUAUUAGGAGGAAUACCGGUGGCGAAGGCGACUUGCUGGACUUCAACUGACGCUGAGGAACGAAAGCGUGGGUAGCAAACAGG
This 403-nucleotide ribosomal RNA is filed under the name bacterium. RNAcentral describes it as "partial 16S ribosomal RNA". It matches the Rfam family "Bacterial small subunit ribosomal RNA", at positions 355 to 776 of the family's 1533-position model. The record is from RNAcentral.